CUGGCGGCGUGCUUAACACAUGCAAGUCGAACGAAGCACCUCCAUCCGUGGAAGGGAGGUAGCUUGCUACGAACGGACACACCCGAGGGUGACUGAGUGGCGGACGGGUGAGUAACGCGUGGGUAACCUGCCCCAUAGAGGGGGACAACAGUUAGAAAUGACUGCUAAUACCGCAUAGUAAGAUAGAUCCGCAUGCUUCUAUCUUGAAAGUUUUUGCGCUAUGGGAUGGACCCGCGUCUGAUUAGCUAGUUGGUGAGGUAACGGCCCACCAAGGCGACGAUCAGUAGCCGGCUUGAGAGAGUGAACGGCCACAUUGGGACUGAGACACGGCCCAAACUCCUACGGGAGGCAGCAGUGGGGAAUAUUGCACAAUGGGGGAAACCCUGAUGCAGCCGACGCCGCGUGAGUGAAGAAGUAUUUCGGUAUGUAAAGCUCUAUCAGCAGGAAAGAUAAUGACGGUACCUGACUAAGAAGCCCCGGCUAACUACGUGCCAGCCGCAGC
RNAcentral lists this ribosomal RNA (502 nucleotides) under uncultured bacterium. RNAcentral describes it as "bacterial SSU rRNA". It matches the Rfam family "Bacterial small subunit ribosomal RNA", at positions 36 to 518 of the family's 1533-position model. The record is from RNAcentral.